Molecule: long non-coding RNA, 3531 nt
Filed under: Homo sapiens (human)
Lineage: Eukaryota; Metazoa; Chordata; Mammalia; Primates; Hominidae
Description: non-protein coding lnc-CPT2-3:6
Source: RNAcentral
CGCCCGGAAGUGGCAACAAGACUGCAACAUCCCCUCACGCCUAGUCUGUAAAGAACUUUGUUUAACCCGGAGGCGGGGCCAGCCAGCUCCGCCCCUCCAGCUGGACGCGGGAGCGAGGUUGAGGUUCAUACCCCUGGGUUCUCUCCAGGCCUGAGGCGGAGAGCCAGCCGCCUGCCUACCUCUGGGCUUUGAACCCCGGGUCUGGUGACUUCGCUUAAAGACCUCGGGCCGAAGGCCCGCCAGGCUCAACCUCGGUUCACAGGACCCCCGACUUGUGUCAAGGAAGAGCAAGACUGAAAAUGUUUACCAGAUUUAUAAUCGAGGAGGUCCUGGAUGACCUUGGCAAAAGCAACCCCAAUGGCAUGGGAAUGAAUGUUUACCAAGAUGAUGCCAGUAUAGCUAGUGAGAUGCAGCACCCCAUCCUCAGCCCCCUCGCCUCUGGAAGAGACACCAGACUGCAAAGGGCACCGCGUACAGAAGCUAACGGAACUUGAAUGACAAGACAAAAAGAGCAGAAUCAGUUAGUGUGACACAACAUUCUAACAUGCCUGAUUCUUACAUCAAAUAUGGUAACUUUGGGGUUGGUAGGGGGAGACAAACAAGGAGAAUCCACUUGGGAACAAUUUGAUGAAGUUUGCAAAUCAGCACUUUACCCCCAAAUUAACAACAGCUUGUAUGGAAAAAAAAAUGCUCUUUUAAAAGUAUAUGGUUUGGACAGGUAUAUUUGUUUUCUCUUGUAGUUUUUGUAAAAAAGUAUCAAAACCUUGGCUUUAAAUAUAUAUAUAUAUAUAUAUAUACACACACACACACGUGGCUUUUUAAAAAUUACUUUUUUAUAGCACAAAGUGUUUGUAAAUGCAGAGGGUUUCUGCUAAUUCUUGACUGUGCACAUGGUGCAUAGCCUGAAUGAACAGAGCUUCCUGAUUUUUUUUUAACUGAAAAAUUGAAGCAGUAAUUCUUUAACCUUCUAAAUUCUCCAUACCCUAAAAAUACAGUGUGAGAAGUCUGUUACUCUAUCUUCAUGCAUUUCGGGAAAAGGAAUUAUUUACUCUGAAACAUUUAAUGCUAACUCAUUUAUAUUUUGUGAAACGAUGAGUGUAUGGCUGGAGUUCGGGGGGUAGGGUGGAGAGGCUUGCAUUCCUGUGCCAUUUCCCCAUUCCCACCAGUGCCCAACUGGACAGUGAUUAGUAUCCCCUCUCCAGACUCAACGUCUUCAACAUUUUCGUUUUUCUUUCUCACAGUUGAGAAAAUCUAAGAGGCUCUCGACAACAUGGCAUGCAUCUGUGAAAAUCCCACUGCCCUUAUAUUAGUCUUCAUUGACCAUAUAAAAAAUCUUUGACUCAAAUAUAUGAAAAGCAGUCAGCAUUUCCCUUUGGCCACUGGAAAGCUUGAGGCUGAAUAAUAUCAGUUCUGCAAAGUGCUGGCAAUGCAUCCUAAUGAAUUUUCCAUGAUGCAUGUAGUGCCUUGUACACAAUGAUCAAGAAAUGCUUCAUUGAAUCAGAAAUUAAUCUAUUUUAUAAAGUGCUUACAUUGAAUCUCUUUCCAUACAGCCUCAUUUCUUGCCCCCCUUGAGCCUUUUGUUCCUGUUAGAAUGAACUGUGCAAUUCCUAAAGUCCCUGUGCUCUUUCAUACCUCUGUGUUUUAGCUCGAUGUGUCUCUGUCUGAAGCAGCUUGGAAUCCCCUUCUUAAUUUUUAAGACUUAAGGUCACUUCUAUGAUGACCCUAUUCCUCAUUUCUUAGGUGGAAAGACCCCUCUCUCCUUUGAGCCCUAACAGUGCUCUGAAUAGAAUCAAUGCCUUUUUUGUUUCCACAUAUAUCAUCCUCCACUGCUACUGUGAACUCUGUAAAGUCAGAACAUGUGUGACUGACCUUUACAUCUGCAGUGCCAGGUGUGUAGUUGGUAUCUAGUGAGUGGUUUUAGUGAAUGAAUAUACUGCAGUCAUACUGAGAUAACUGGAGGGAUCAAUAGGACUUACUGCCAUACAUUUAAAUCCGAUCUCAUUCUCUUUUUGCCAGUUAACAGGUUACUUCAAUCUGUUUUAUAAAUAAUCUGUGUAUCAAGAGUAAAUAAGUACAGUUUCGUUUUCUCUGUUUCUAGAAGGCAUUUCAGUUAGUGCCUUUGUAAUUCCACUGGAGGAAAGGUAGACCAUAGUAUAGGUAGCAGGUUUGAUACAAUGUUCAGGCAGCCCAAAAUAGUCUUCCUGCAGAAGGAAAUGGAGGAAACGCACUGGGACUGGCUUCUGAUAAAUUUUCUGCCCCCUUGGCAUUGUCUCUGAGCUUCCUUCCAGCUCUAUAGUCCAGUGACUCUGUGAUCUGUGAUUGGCUGUAGAUAGCUAUGCACGGGGGCAAAAGGCAAAAGAUAUGUAACUGUACCUCAAAAUGAGGCUGAAAAGCCUCUAUGAAUGGGGGAAGGUGGAUCUGACUCCUCAGGUUUCAUCUUAUUUACUGCCGUCCAACACAUGAAUAUAUCACAAUUUGUUUCUUGUAAAGGGUUGCUCCCAUUGCUGCCUCUUUCAAACUGCAGUUGUAGCAUAUGCAGGAAACAUGAAUGUCUCUGAGAAAAAGUUGUGAAUUUCAUUGUCAUUUUGAGAUCUCAGGCUGUAUGUCCAGACCCCAUUCAUCAUUUUUUUCUGUGAAUGCCAGGAUCUUACUGAAAGUUUAGAAACUAUGCCUUAGCCACUGUUAUCAUUUAAUUCCUUGGAAAAUUCAGUUUCUUUGGAAGGUUACAGAAAAAGUCACUUGUUUUGAGUACAUUUCCAUGUUUUUCACUGUCAUCAUUUUUCUUCAGUCAAAAAUAAUUUUACUUUCCGUUCUUAAAAGAAUAGUAAUAUGUGAGUAAGCUCCAUAGGAGUUGGCCACCUGUUCUUAAAAUUCUGUUUGGUAUUGGUCAUUCUAGGUCAACUGCAUUUACCCUCUCAAUGAAUGUUUCAGGACUAUCAACACAUGCAUGUCAUGAGGAGAUUGCUGGAUUAUGCAAAACACACUGCCCAAGCUCCAGAAUAUAGUUAUUUUCUUAGAGUUUAGGAGGCCAAGAGUGACACAGAGGAAGGUCCUAGGUACAGGAUGCUAGAACUCCAGAAUGUCUGACUGAAAAUUCAAAGGGUAUCAAGCUGGUGAGACAUCCAACUUCAUUGAGUUGGGGGCAUCUGGCAGGUAGGGAUGGGAAGGCAUUUGCUUAAGUGUGUCAAGUUCCAGGUAUGAUGAGAUUAGAUGCAGCUCCUCUGCUCCUACUUAAGUCAAACACUUCCAUGUUGCACCUUGUCCCUGGUUGUCUAGUGGGAGUAAGUGGCAGAACAGCAGAGUUAAGAAACUCAAACUCUUUCUCUUUGGAUGGGAAAGCCACUGGGGACUGAAUCCUUCUGGGACUAUAGGAUUAUGUUUCCAAUGGGAGACCCCACAAGUAGAAAAGAGCACUUCUCCCUUCCUCCCCCAAGGCCAAGAAAAGCAAAGAAGAUGUCUAUAAUGAAGAACAUCUAUACAUAUACCCGGAGUUUUUCCUUUUAUUUACAAAGCAGUAAACCAAAUUCCUGU